CCUACGGGUGGCUGCAGUAGGGAAUCUUUCACAAUGGGCGAAAGCCUGAUGGAGCAACGCCGCGUGCAGGAUGAAGGCCUUCGGGUUGUAAACUGCUUUUAUAAGCGAGAAAUAUGAUGGUACCUUAUGAAUAAGGAUCGGCUCACUACGUGCCAGCAGCGGCGGUCAUACGUAGGCUCCGAGCAUUAUCCGGAGUGACUGGGUGUAAAGAGUUGCGUAGGUGGCAUAGUAAGUAGCUAGUGGAAUCUGGUGGCUCAACCAUUCAGACUAUUAGCUACACUGCUAAGCUCGAGACCGUUAGGGGUAACUGGAAUUUAUAGUGUAGGAGUGAAAUCCGUAGAUAUUAGAAGGAACACCGAUAGCGUAGGCAGGUUACUGGGACGGUUCUGACACUAAGGCACGAAAGCGUAGGGAGCAAACGGGAUUAGAUACCCGUGUAGUC
RNAcentral lists this ribosomal RNA (442 nucleotides) under uncultured bacterium. Its description in RNAcentral is "partial 16S ribosomal RNA". It matches the Rfam family "Bacterial small subunit ribosomal RNA", at positions 338 to 795 of the family's 1533-position model. The record is from RNAcentral.